Molecule: non-coding RNA, 820 nt
Organism: Oncorhynchus mykiss (rainbow trout)
Lineage: Eukaryota; Metazoa; Chordata; Actinopteri; Salmoniformes; Salmonidae
Source: RefSeq, a predicted model, not a curated record
CGUGAUUGGGAGUCCCAUAGGGCGGCGCACAAUUGGCCCAGCGUCGUCUGGGUUUGGCCGGGGUAGGCCGUCAUUGUAAAUAAGAAUUUGUUCUUGACUGACUAGCCUAAUUAGAUCAAGGUUAAAUACAAUUUUUUUAAAUUCCGGGAAAACUUAAAAACAACAUCAAUGGAGAAGUCAACAUACAAGUAUAAGUAUAAGCGAAUGCAAAUAAGUUAUACAUUGUGGUACUAAUGCAAAAAGUAAACACUUUUGUUUGGUUAUCAUUUUCCUUCAGAAGUUCCAGCUAGGCAUUAGCUAAUUAAUUUGCUAGCUAUCAUACAGUGCAGUAGGUGAAUAAUAAUAAUGAUAUAUUUAGUAAGUAAACCUGCACUCAUAAUUGACUGCAGGGCAUAAAAGCACCCACAAGCUACCGGUGCCUGAAAACACAAUCAUUGCGGGAUGAACGAGUGACGAAUUACCAAGAUUGGCGGACCGGAAACCCAGUGACAACACUCGGGUCUGCAGCUGACAUUUUCCGUUGGGAAAGAGAAAUGGCCCUGUAUUUGCCAGAAAAUGUUGCUCAUCCAUCAUCGCAGAAGAGGAAGAGUCAUAUACUUCCACAAUGGCAGAAGAGGUAGAUCCAGACACAUUCAACAUGGCAGACGAAGUUCCAGGCGCCUCGGCCACUGAAGAAUGUAGGAGGCUGCUGUCUACACCGUUGCGGAAUGUUCUCACUGAGGUGCAUCUUAUUAAGGAAACAGUGCAGUUGAAGGUUCUACAGGAGAAUCAGCUGUAUACCUGCAACGGGUAUUCAGCAUCGUGGCUGUCUGAUAAAGUA